AGGAAUGCGUGCGUGAGUGCAUGGUGUGUGAGUGUGCCCUGCGAUGGGCUGGCCCCCCAUCCUGGGUUGUUCCCUGCCUCGUGCCCAUUGCUUCCGGGAUAGGCUCCGUACCCCCCGCGACCCAGUAGGAUAAGUGGUUUGGAAAAUGGAUGGAUGGAUGGAUGAUAGGUAAUCCCACUAAUUAAUAAAAUGAAAAAGUAGCCACAAGCCAUCUACACUCGGACGUGCUAUAAUCACCCACCUUCACACACGGACUGGGGAGCCCCUUUCAGUCCUGGCAGGAGACUAACACGUGAUUCCUGAGAAGUGCCGGGCGAUGCGCGCUCUAUUCCACGGCUGAUCUCUGGUCAGUGCUGAGCUCUCCCCCUUCCUUUAUGCUAAAUCUGGAGUGGUACGCGUGCGGGGAGGGGGCGAGCUGGCCAGGCUCACCCCCUUCCUCAGGGAAUAUGCUCUUUAUUCUCCAAUUCCUGUCCAGGUGAGGCUGUUUUGCGCUUGCGGUUACGAAGCAUUUUGGGCAGGGCUUUCCCUUUUCCCCUGGGAAAGGCAAGAUAGGUGUUCUAGCUCUUUCUGUGAGAAACAAGUUAUAUAAGUGAUCAGUGAAAAAACAUGUUUGUGCAGUUCACCUGUGGCACAACAAUAAUGUGGGUGAAUCACGGUGGAUGUUGUAUUUGAAUCCCGGGGUGUUUAGUCCAAACACGAUCAGAAUCAGUCCAUACCUCAAUCUCCUCAUAGGUAUGUCUGCUAGGUGGAGUUGGAGGUGCAGUAUAAUCCGGUUAUAAUGGACUCGCUUAUAACGGAAUAUCAUCUAUAACAGAUAAGGUCUGCUGGUCGUGCGCCUUUAAGAACCUCCAGAAAAAGCAUCGGAUAUAGCGGACUCACAUACAAUAGAAUUUCGCUUAUAACGGACAAACAGUUUGGUCCCGUUUGUCAUUUGCCGUGUGUCUGUGGCAGGAUACACGUGUGUGAGAGUGUCUGCGGCAGGGUACGUGUGUGUGAGAGUGCCUGUGACAGGGUACGUGUGCGUGAGAGUGUCUGUGGCAGAGUACGUGUGUUUGACAGUGUCUGUGGCAGGCUACAUGUGUAUGAGAGUGUCUGUGGCAGGGUACGUGUGUGUGAGAGUGUCUGUGGCAGAGUACGUGUGUUUCAGAGUGUCUGUGGCAGGGUACAUGUGUAUGAGAGUGUCUGUGGCAGGGUACGUGUGUUUGAGAGUGUCUGUGACAGGGUACAUGUGUGUGAGAGUGUCUGUGACAGUGUACGCGUGUGUGAGAUUGUCUGUGACAGUGUACGCGUGUGUGAGAGUGUCUGUGACAGUGUACGCGUGUGUGAGAGUGUCUGUGACAGUGUACGCGUGUGUGAGAGUGUCUGUGACAGUGUACUCGUGUGUGUGAGUGUAUGUGACAGUGUACUCAUGUGUGAGAGUGUAUGUGACUGUACGCGUUUGUGAGAGUGUCUGUGACAGUGUACGUGUGUGUGAGAGUGUCUGAGGCAGGGUACGUGUGUGUGAGAGUGUCUGUGACAGUGUAUGUGUUUGUGAGAGUGUCUGUGACAGUGUACAUGUGUGUGAGAGUGUCUGUGGCAGGGUACGUGUCUUUCAGAGUGUCUGUGGCAGGGUACAUAUGUAUGAGAGUGUCUGUGGCAGAGUACGUGUGUUUGAGAGUGUCUGUGGCAGGGUACAUGUGUGUGAGAGUGUCUGUGGCAGGGUACGUGUGUUUCAGAGUGUCUGUGGCAGGGUACAUGUGUAUGAGAGUGUCUGUGGCAGAGUACGUGUGUUUGAGAGUGUCUGUGGCAGGGUACAUGUGUGUGAGAGUGUCUGUGGCAGGGUACGUGUGUGUGAGAGUGUCUGCGGCAGAGUUCGUGUGUUUGAGAGUGUCUGUGGCAGAGUACGUGUGUGUGAGAGUGUCUGUGGCAGAGUACGUGUGUUUGAGAGUGUCUGUGGCAGGGUACAUGUGUGUGAGAGUGUCUACGGCAGAGUACGUGUGUUUGAGAGUGUCUGUGGCAGGGUAGUUGUGUGUGAGAGUGUCUGCGGCAGAGUACGUGUGUUUGAGAGUGUCUGCGGCAGAGUACGUGUGUAUGAGAGUGUCUGUGGCAGGGUACGUGUGUGUGAGAGUGUCUGUGACAGGGUACAUGUGUGUGAGAGUGUCUGCGGCAGAGUACGUGUGUAUGAGAGUGUCUGUGGCAGGGUACAUGUGUGUGAGAGUGUCUGUGACAGUGUAUACGUGUGUGAGAGUGUCUGUGAUUGGAUACGUGUGUGUGAGAGUGUCUGUGACAGGGUACAUGUGUGUGAGAGUGUCUGCGGCCGAGUACGUGUGUAUGAGAGUGUCUGUGGCAGGUUACGUGUGUGUGAGUGUGUCUGUGGCAGGGUUCGUGUGUGUGUGAGAGUGUCUGAGGCAGGAUAUGUGUAAGAGUGUCUGUGACAGUGUACGUGUGUGUGAGAGUGUCUGCAGUAGGAUACGUGUGUGUUAGUGUGUCUGUGGAAGGGUACGUGUGUACGAGAGUGUCUGCGGCAGGGUACGUGUGUGUGAGAGUGUCUGCGGCAGGAUACGUGUAUGUAAGAGUGUCUGUGGCAGGGUAAGUGUGUGUGAGAGUGUCUGUGACAGUGUACGCGUGUGUGAGAGUGUCUGUGACAGUGUACGCGUCUGUGAGAGUGUAUGUGACAGUGUACGCAUGUGUGUGAGUGUCUGUGACAGGGUACGUGUGUGUGUGAGAGUGUCUGAGGCAGGGUAAGCGUGUGUGAGAGUGUCUGUGACAGUGUACGCGUGUGUGAGAGUGUCUGUGACAGUGUACGCGUCUGUGAGAGUGUAUGUGACAGUGUACUCGUGUGUGUGAGUGUAUGUGACAGUGUACUCAUGUGUGAGAUUGUCUGUGACAGUGUACGUGUGUGUGAGAGUGUCUGCAGUAGGAUACGUGUGUGUUAGUGUGUCUGUGGAAGGGUACGUGUGUACGAGAGUGUCUGCGGCAGGGUACGUGUGUGUGAGAGUGUCUGCGGCAGGGUACGUGUGUGUGAGAGUGUCUGUGACAGUGUAUGUGUUUGUGAGAGUGUCUGUGACAGUGUACAUGUGUGUGAGAGUGUCUGUGGCAGGGUACGUGUCUUUCAGAGUGUCUGUGGCAGGGUACAUAUGUAUGAGAGUGUCUGUGGCAGAGUACGUGUGUUUGAGAGUGUCUGUGGCAGGGUACAUGUGUGUGAGAGUGUCUGUGGCAGGGUACGUGUGUUUCAGAGUGUCUGUGGCAGGGUACAUGUGUAUGAGAGUGUCUGUGGCAGAGUACGUGUGUUUGAGAGUGUCUGUGGCAGGGUACAUGUGUGUGAGAGUGUCUGUGGCAGGGUACGUGUGUGUGAGAGUGUCUGCGGCAGAGUUCGUGUGUUUGAGAGUGUCUGUGGCAGAGUACGUGUGUGUGAGAGUGUCUGUGGCAGAGUACGUGUGUUUGAGAGUGUCUGUGGCAGGGUACAUGUGUGUGAGAGUGUCUACGGCAGAGUACGUGUGUUUGAGAGUGUCUGUGGCAGGGUAGUUGUGUGUGAGAGUGUCUGCGGCAGAGUACGUGUGUUUGAGAGUGUCUGUGACAGGGUACAUGUGUGUGAGAGUGUCUGCGGCAGAGUACGUGUGUAUGAGAGUGUCUGUGGCAGGGUACGUGUGUGUGAGAGUGUCUGUGACAGGGUACAUGUGUGUGAGAGUGUCUGCGGCAGAGUACGUGUGUAUGAGAGUGUCUGUGGCAGGGUACAUGUGUGUGAGAGUGUCUGUGACAGUGUAUACGUGUGUGAGAGUGUCUGUGAUUGGAUACGUGUGUGUGAGAGUGUCUGUGACAGGGUACAUGUGUGUGAGAGUGUCUGCGGCCGAGUACGUGUGUAUGAGAGUGUCUGUGGCAGGGUACGUGUGUGUGAGUGUGUCUGUGGCAGGGUACGUGUGUGUGUGAGAGUGUCUGAGGCAGGAUAUGUGUGAGAGUGUCUGUGACAGUGUACGUGUGUGUGAGAGUGUCUGCAGUAGGAUACGUGUGUGUGAGAUUGUCUGUGGCAGGGUACGCGUGUGUGUGAGAGUGUCUGUGACAGGGUACGCGUGCGCGAGAGUGUCUGUGACAGGGUACGCGUGUGUGAGAGUGUCUGAGGCAGGGUACGUGUGUGUGAGAGUGUCUGUGACAGUGUACGCGUGUGUGAGAGUGUCUGUGACAGUGUACGCGUCUGUGAGAGUGUAUGUGACAGUGUACGCGUGUGUGUGAGUGUCUGUGACAGGGUACGUGUGUGUGUGAGAGUGUCUGAGGCAGGGUAAGCGUGUGUGAGAGUGUCUGUGACAGUGUACGCGUGUGUGAGAGUGUCUGUGACAGUGUACGCAUCUGUGAGAGUGUAUGUGACAGUGUACGCGUGUGUGUGAGUGUCUGUGACAGUGUACGUGUGUGUGAGAGUGUCUGCAGCAGGAUAUGUGUGUGAGUGUCUGUGACAGGGUACGCGUGUGCGAGAGUGUCUGUGACAGGGUACGCGUGUGCGAGAGUGUCUGUGGCAGGGUACGCGUGUGCGAGAGUGUCUGUGACAGGGUACGCGUGUGUGUGAGUGUCUGUGACAGUGUACGUGUGUGUGAGAGUGUCUGCAGCAGGAUAUGUGUGUGAGUGUCUGUGACAGGGUACGCGUGUGCGAGAGUGUCUGUGACAGGGUACGCGUGUGCGAGAGUGUCUGUGGCAGGGUACGCGUGUGCGAGAGUGUCUGUGACAGGGUACGCGUGUGUGAGAGUGUCUGUGACAGUGUACGCGUGUGUGAGAGUGUAUGUGACAGUGUAUGUGUGUGUGAGAGUGUCUGUGACAGUGUACGCGUGUGUGAGAGUGUCUGUGACAGUGUACGCGUCUGUGAGAGUGUAUGUGACAGUGUACGCAUGUGUGUGAGUGUCUGUGACAGGGUACGUGUGUGUGUGAGAGUGUCUGAGGCAGGGUAAGCGUGUGUGAGAGUGUCUGUGACAGUGUACGCGUGUGUGAGAGUGUCUGUGACAGUGUACGCGUCUGUGAGAGUGUAUGUGACAGUGUACUCGUGUGUGUGAGUGUAUGUGACAGUGUACUCAUGUGUGAGAUUGUCUGUGACAGUGUACGCGUGUGUGAGAGUGUCUGUGACAGUGUACGCGUGUGUGAGAGUGUCUGAGGCAGUGUACACGUGUGUGAGAGUGUAUGUGACAGUGUACGCGUUUGUGAGAGUGUCUGUGACAGUGUACGUGUGUGUGAGAGUGUCUGAGGCAGGGUACGUGUGUGUGAGAGUGUCUGAGGCAGGGUACGUGUGUGUGAGAGUGUCUGUGACAGUGUACACGUGUGUGAGAGUGUCUGCGACAGUGUAUGUGUGUGUGAGAGUGUCUGUGACAGUGUACGUGUGUGUGAGAGUGUCUGAGGCAGGGUACGUGUGUGUGAGAGUGUCUGUGAUUGGGUACGUGUGUGUGAGAGUGUCUGAGGCAGGUUACAUGUGUGUGAGAGUGUCUGUGACAGGGUACGUGUGUGUGUGAGAGUGUCUGAGGCAGGGUACGUGUGUGUGAGUGUGUCUGUGGCAGGGUACGUGUGUGUGUGAGAGUGUCUGAGGCAGGAUAUGUGUGAGAGUGUCUGUGACAGUGUACGUGUGUGUGAGAGUGUCUGCAGUAGGAUACGUGUGUGUGAGAUUGUCUGUGGCAGGGUACGCGUGUGUGUGAGAGUGUCUGUGACAGGGUACGCGUGCGCGAGAGUGUCUGUGACAGGGUACGCGUGUGUGAGAGUGUCUGAGGCAGGGUACGUGUGUGUGAGAGUGUCUGUGACAGUGUACGCGUGUGUGAGAGUGUCUGUGAUAGUGUACGCGUCUGUGAGAGUGUAUGUGACAGUGUACGUGUGUGUGUGAGUGUCUGUGACAGGGUACGUGUGUGUGUGAGAGUGUCUGAGGCAGGGUAAGCGUGUGUGAGAGUGUCUGUGACAGUGUACGCGUGUGUGAGAGUGUCUGUGACAGUGUACGCAUCUGUGAGAGUGUAUGUGACAGUGUACGCGUGUGUGUGAGUGUCUGUGACAGUGUACGUGUGUGUGAGAGUGUCUGCAGCAGGAUAUGUGUGUGAGUGUCUGUGACAGGGUACGCGUGUGCGAGAGUGUCUGUGACAGGGUACGCGUGUGCGAGAGUGUCUGUGGCAGGGUACGCGUGUGCGAGAGUGUCUGUGACAGGGUACGCGUGUGUGAGAGUGUCUGUGACUGUGUACACGUGUGUGAGAGUGUAUGUGACAGUGUAUGUGUGUGUGAGUGUGUCUGUGACAGUGUACGUGUGUGUGAGAGUGUCUGAGGCA
Brienomyrus brachyistius is the source of this 6254-nucleotide RNA transcript. It is a transcript of the gene named keratin-associated protein 4-11-like, with no coding region annotated. The transcript has 4 exons. NCBI's taxonomy places the organism in Eukaryota, Metazoa, Chordata, Actinopteri, Osteoglossiformes, Mormyridae. The record is from RefSeq and is a predicted model, not a curated record.